This 1673-nucleotide long non-coding RNA is filed under the name Struthio camelus australis. RNAcentral describes it as "lncRNA (ENSSCUG00000012366.1)". Lineage: Eukaryota; Metazoa; Chordata; Aves; Struthioniformes; Struthionidae. The record is from RNAcentral.
CGGCACAAGUGCAUCGUAGCCCCCCCCCACCCCCGGUUAUUUUAGCCUCCCAUCCUCUCUCUUUUCACUGCGCAUUUGCCCUGCUCUUAACCGCUUCCUUUGGCAUCUGCGUCUGGCCACGCUUGGAGAAGGCACGCUGCAUUAGCCGCGCUGCUGAUGCGAUCCAGCCCGGCCGUCCUGUUUUUAAGGAGGAAAAACGGCAUGGAAAUUGCAGCUACCUCCACGGCAUAGCAGCAUGCACCACGGCCGGCAUUCACGCUGUGACACACAGAGACCUUUAGCCUCCUAAGCACUUACAGUAACACAUAUAACAAGGGCUAAACUCGCUAAAUGAUUUAAUGCGCAAAGGGAUUGGCGGAGAACGAGGGUCCUCUGGUGCUUACUAGCCAAACCACUGAGCGCUUUGCUCCAAGCACAUCCCUGGUGUAUCUCUAGCUCAGUCCAAGGAUUGAAGAUGGCUUGGUCAAGUGCAGACUAAAAUGCCUUUUUGAAAUUAAAAUGUGAUUGUGCAUCUGGGACUGCCUGGAAUUCUGCUCGUUUUAAUUUGUUCUAAGCUGAAACUCGAGAAGGUUGGAAAAAAAAAAAAAAGGGGGGUUACCUGAAGUGUAACGUCAGGGCGAAAAAACCAUCCCUGGCAAGGUCAGGGAUCGUGCGUCAAGUUUCUUUUUGGUCGAGAGUUCCUCGCGGCGACCGAGAAGCGCCUGCGGCUCAGCUCUCUGAGACGCCCGAUUACACAACAAGGUCGGUGCCAAACGCGUCCCAGCCAACUCCGAUCCGGCAAGCUGGCCCCGCAAGCGGACUCUCCCCCCCCGGCUGACCGGUGGCAGCAGCGAGAGUCUACCUAGAGCAGCUCGAGCUCUCCAUCACCUACUUUUUGCUCCUGUAAAGGCACGCUCCUCGAAGAAGCGAUGGCAGAAGGAGAGGGGACGGUGCUCCUCGGCAGCUCUGAUGAAGGCGAGGGGACGCGCCGAGCGAAUCCGGCAGCUGCUAAAGAUUAUAAGCCUUAAUUACGUCAAAGCCCUUGGAAACUGCAGCCAUGGGGGGGAACAGCGAGAGCUUUCCAGCGGACUCCUGGGGAAGGUGCUGCUUUUGGAUUUAGCAUAAUUAAUAUCAAGUUCAGCCAAGCGAGUCUGGGAGGCUGAUGGUCUCCCAAAUGGUUAUUUAAUGUGGCUUGAUUAUUUAUUUUUUAAAGCUUUUUUUUCUCUUCUCUCUCUCUCUCCUUGUAAAUGAAUUUGGCACUGGUGAAAGGUGUUGGAUUGACAGCUCUGGAAAUAUAAGCCCUCAAGGAAAACUGUUUUGGAGUCCUGUAGGUAACAACAAUAUAUAUGUAAUCCAUGCGUAGAGGCAAUCGUUUGCAGCAGCGAAGCCGCGGUGACAGUAACAGCUGCUUUUUGCUCUAAAUUAAAAAGUAGAUAUUGCUUAGAGACCACAGGGUUUAGACAGAGCGUUGUGCAUCCUUUCAGCAUCAGGUCCAGGUCGCGCUGUUUAGAAAUGGGUGUGCUUGGCUGUGAACGUGAGUUUAAGCCAGGUCGCGUUCCCCUUCUGGUUCUGCCUUUGGCCACGAGCGAUAUCGCUUGGGCUUCUCCUUCUGCGAGGCCGGAGGCGGGGUGGGGGGGGCAUCGCUUUCCUGCGAAGGAGAGAGAAUAAAACGUACUGAGAUUAUGAAGUGAUCA